Molecule: long non-coding RNA, 24677 nt
Organism: Homo sapiens (human)
Lineage: Eukaryota; Metazoa; Chordata; Mammalia; Primates; Hominidae
Exons: 2
Source: RefSeq, a predicted model, not a curated record
CUGUUUUAGGAGAGCUGGGUUUUCAGUGUCUGAGACCCCUUAUUUUUAAAAGAAAAAAAAAAGAAACUGUUUUUUCUUUUCUAUUAGCCAAAAAGAAAAUCGCAUUAAAAAGAACAAUGUCAUGCUCUUUCUUCCCUCUCUCCCUGCUGAGUUGGAAGGGACAGAUGCACAUGGGCUGGGAGCUUUUGAAUCAAUUGCUCAAAAGACUUUUCUGUUCCCCCACCGUGGCGAGGUCAGGGCAGUGACAACAAACAAUUUAACUUCUCGAACCUUGUGGUGCCUUUUCUCGUGGUGCUUCUCUGUUGUGUAACUCCACUCAAGGCGACCACUUGCAGCAAACAGCAACGCCAGCAAAUGGUAUUCUGUGCCAGUGCAGUAACAGACUUUAAUGUAUAAAUAUAUACUUAGAUAUAGAUAUAUCACCAUAGUUAUAUAACUAUAUAAUUGAGGUUCUGAUGCAGCUUUGGUGGGAGUUGAUCAUUCCUCUACAAAAAUAUAUACUACUCAACUGGAACUAAUGGCUCUCUUGAGGGUACUGACAUUUGGGAAAGGCACAACAGAUGAGAUGGGUUACUCUCCUGUGACAAGUUUUCUUCUUCCUUCUUGUGAAAGUUGCUGUCUCCGUAACACAGAAUAUUUGAUAAGGGAGCAAAGUGCAGCUUCUUUUGAACUUCCUUUGGUGCUGAUAUAUAUUUCUUUUAAUUCUUUGUUUGUUUUGCUUCCCCAUUAGUGGCCAAUAAGCUGCUUUCCCCAAAAUCUUGACUCACCUAUCAAAGGUGGCAGGGGACAGUUUGGGAAUAAGAGGCUGGAAGUUGGGCAUCCCUCACUUCGUGUCCUGACUCAGUUUCCCCUGUGACCUGCAUACGUCCCACACAUGGGUUCUCCAUCUACAAUGAGUAUCAUAAUAUUUACCUCAUGGGGAAGAGUAACUUAAAAGGAUUAACUGAUGAUACUGAAUCACUAGAUCAUUAUUAAUUUGGAGACAGCAACUUGACAUGUUAAGAUUUUGUUUAUAUGUUGCUAAGACUUAAAUCUUGGGGUUUUGUUUUGUUCGCCUCUUGUUUCUCCAUCUCUGCUAUGUUUUCUGUCCUGCCUUUGGCAAUACCUUAAAUAUUCUGUAACUGAUGGAGAUUCACCUAGGGCGUUGGGUAGUGCUAAUUUCUCCCAAGGGAACAACAUCACUAAUACUGUAUAAGGUGCUAGAAUCAAACCUCAUUUUAUAUACUUUGGUUCUUAGAGAAAAACAAAACAUGCAGAAUUAUUUCUGUGAAGCCUUACUAUAGAUUGCUAUAGCCAAUUGUUUAUCCAAAAAGUGAGACAGAGAGAAUAGAAAAUGAAGAUAAGAUGCAGAGAUUCUGUAUAAAGUGUAACAAAAAGACCUUUGCUAUUUCUUAUAUUAAGGUAAACUAUCAUAUAUAUAUAUUUAUAUACAUAUAUAUAUAUAUGUUUGAGGCAGAUAGAAUGGAAAAACGUACAGUGUGGUCAUCUUUAUUUUGUCAGUUAAUUCACAACUUUUAGUAUGUGUGCAAGAGAGGUUUAGAGUGGGGAUGGGAUAAGGGAUGCCCAGUGUGAUAUGGGAAAUCAUUCAUCUUUCUGUUCUGUUCCACAUGUUAGUAGAAGGAGUAGGCUGAAUGAGAGGAAAGGGGAAUAAAUCAAGACAUAGAUGUGCUUUUUAAAUGUUCUGAGCAUUGAUGUUAUGCUUUUGUGUUGUUUCUUCUUUAUUCCAAGGUUUCUCUACAGUGCUGUAAAAAUGUCCCCUGCCUAGGGCGCUAACCAAUAACGUUUACCUCAAGAAAGCUUAAAAAAAAAAGAGGCAGUUUUUUUCCCAUCUCUUAAAAAAUAGUGUCCCUCUAACCAAAAGGUGAGGCAUUUCCGCAGAAGUUCAGCAAGAGAAGAGAACCAUUUCUGAGGCUUUCCUUCAUGUCCCCAUCCUUUUCUACCGCACCCCACCCCCUUUAGUUACUAAUGAAAGAAUCCAAGAGAUUAGUUUUGACCAGAAGUGGGUUAGGAUGUGAUUAAAGUGUAUUAUUGGUGAAUAUAAACUUUGCCAGAACUAGCGGUGUGGGGUCCUUUCAAAGGAUGGCUGUGUACUUCAGAUGUUUCAUGCUAGCAUGUGUGUGUGUGUGUGUGUGUGUGUGUGUGUGUGUGUACUGUAUAUAUGUUCCAGUGUGUGAAAUGUCUGGUGGACAGAGAACAAAAUACCGCAAGCAGACAUGAACAGGAAAAGAUAUAUAUCAAAUGCUAUUUUAUCAGAUGAUGCACUUGUUCACCUUGAUGAGAAGCCACUGUUUCACAACUAUGCAAUCUUCCAGUUUUUCUCCCCACCCGUUCACCUUAGAUUUCCAAACUGUUUUCCAUAAUCCUCACAGAUUUUUUCCUUUGUACAAGAAACACAAUAUCCAAUCCCUGGUUCAAGGUGAGCAUGCUACAGUGAUUCUUUUCCUAAAUUUAAGAGCUAAAGAAAAAAGAAUUUUCCUUUUCUUUAAUUGGAAAUGAUUCAGUGUAACCUCGUUUGGUUCUGUAAGUGAACUGAUGUGUAUUUUCUGUUUCAGUUACAUGUUUACAACUUGUUUUCAUCCUCUUCUUGGUUCAAAAUAUUUAUUUUCUUUACAGAUUCUACUUUUUAUAUAUGUUUUGGGGAUGUGUUAACUUAAGGCAAGAAGAAAAAUUUGGCUUAAGUGGAAAAAUGAGCAUGUGACCUCUGGGGCCGGGGGUGGGGAGAUCAUGUGUACCUGCAGCUGAAUUAGUACUUACAUCAUGGUCCUGAGUCAAGACCAUGGCAGGGAAUCUGGUGGACUCUGGGGAGGACCUGACCUGGGUGUUUUUCUUUCCUUAUUUGUGGUCAUCUCUAUGGAGUAACCUAUACCCAGAGGAUGGACUAGUAUUUUCUGCCUUAGCUUUAGGCCAACUGUGCCCUUCCUAGCUACUCCACCCAGUGCCAAAUCCCAUGUCCCUUCUGUUGCACCACGGACUCCUAAUACCUCUCCUCCCCUGCCAGCCACUGAUGGCAACUUGCCCAAGUGGGGUUAAUGCAUCUGCUUUCAUUUCGAAAGUUAGAUAUAAAGGGAAUCUUUGAGAGCCCAGUGUCAAAAGUGCUCAGGAAAUUGGCCCUAGACUGUGUGCCAUUUGGAAACAUUUUGAAACAUACUCAUAGCUGCAGUGAGGGCAGCGGGUUCUAGCACAUUUACAAACUACCAUCAAGCCAGUUCGGCUGAGCAAGACUUUGAGAGGUUUUUAAAAAAUAGUUGAGAGAAAGAUGAUAGGUCACAUGGUUACACAAAGCACAAACUUGGCAGGGGAAGCCCUGUACGCAGAAGGCAGCUUUGCAACUUCUCUGGUUGUCUGCACAAGUCUGAGUUUUGCACAUGGUUUACAAGUCUUGCACAAGGUGGCCGAGCCAUCCAAGACAAUUUUUAAAAGAGAAAUCCAGACACUGCCUAACUGCUCCAGCACAACAUGCUUCCACUCGGCGGCAGGUGGGAGCUUAGAUGAAAUUCCUUUGGAGUGAAGAAGGAAGUCGGUCCUUUGAUGAAGUGCAUUGUCUCUAGUGGCCUCAUUCCUUGCCUUCCCCAAUCCUGCACAUUCUCUUAGCUACUCAGGGGAUCUGAACAAAGAGGUAUUCAUUUACUUUUGUCUUGUUCCAUAGAUCACAUCUGCUGAGAACCAUCCUGGGAAUUUCUCACCCAUUCUUUGGUCUUCUUUCUUAUAUAUAAUAGGAAUAAAGGGUUCCUCUUCUCCUUGAAGUGAGUAGUUUGGAGACUUUCAGAGCUGUCCUGGGACCUGGCCCUGCAUAACCAGACCCCAAGAAGCUUCCCCAAAGCUGACUUGUCUUUAAGGCUCAGAAAGUCUACAGGGGAUCUGUUCCAGGACACCAUGAAAUUUCCCAACUCCUGGCCCUCUCUAAAAAUCAGCUGUACAUUUGGAGGAGUCUCUUGCAGGUUGCCAAGGUCUGGACCUGUGACCCCAGUCCCCUCUAGCCUGCCCCAUUGGCACUCAGGCCUCUGGGUCUUCACUCACCUUGGGCAGAAUGAAGAGUGGCCAAAGGUUGAAAGUGGUGGAGAUCCCUCACUCCUUGCUUGCCCAGGGCCAAAUCAGAGUGUCCAAUACCCAUUUGGGGGCUGUGACAACCUGCCGUUCUGGGAAGGGUCAUGCCCACCUCUGCAGUCUGUGGCAUUGUUGAGUUUCUGCCCAAAUCUAGACCCAGGAAACCUGCCUGUUCGGAAGCCUGACAAUUCAUUCCCAGUGUAAACAGAGCCUUUGCUGGAAAAAUCUUCCCUAUCAGAGUGGAUGAGUCCGACCCUGUGCUAUGUGGGCUCUUGCCAUCCACUGGACCCUGAGAUCCUGAGUGGCCCAUGGAUGUACAGUCCUGAAUGCCAGGCCAGAGAGGUCAGGGGCGGCCAAGAGCCCUGCAGGGCUGGCUGCUUCUGAAGAAGGAAUCUGGUCAGAGAUGUUGUGCUUCCCCUGAUGGGAGUAGGAGACAGUUCCUUAGAGGAAAGAAGCAUUUAGAAUUACUGGGGUCUCAGGAAUGUCACGUGUCAGAACCAGUCCAGUGUGGUCUGAGCGGGUGACAUCAGUGAUGCAGAGCAGAGCCCUUCUGGGGAGGAUGAGAGGACCCAGAUACUGCUCACAGUAACCAAGGGCCACAGAUGUGUCAGGCUCUGUGCCCAAUGCCUCCAUACAAAUCAUCUCCUCUAAAUCCUGAGGAUCACCUGGUGAGGUGAGAAAUCCCCCCUUUUACAAAUGGGGAAACUGAGGCUCAGGGAGUCCUCACAUUUGCACAGGGUCCCAUGGUCAGUCAGGGGUUCAGCUGGGGGCAGACCUCAGUAUCUCGGUUCGGCUUCAUCCCUAGUGAUCCUGCUCCUCUUCCAGGUGGACUCCACCUCAUCCCCCUCCUCAUGGCUCACAAACACCAGGGAGCUCACAGUGCCUGGUGUGGAAUGUUUGGGACUAAAUCCAGGAAGCCUGAGCAUUGUUGUUUGCAUUCAGUUGGCCCAAGAAACUAGGAUAAGAGUGGGGAAAAUUCAGGGACGAUUAAUGAAAUACAGCGUCACAUGGAAAAUGAUGCCUGCUUUCCAGAGGUCACCCUGAGCCCUACCCCUUCAGUUAUGUUCUGGAGGAGAUCCGUGGAACUGGAGCCCUCCCAGGUGCACUUUGAGUUGUCUGUUUGGGUUGUCCUGAGAACUUUAGUGUCUCCUAUCUGUCUUGUUUUGUUUUUGUUCUCCAUGACCUUGAGAGAUGACUUUCAGAUAAAUGGAUUAUUUUCCUAAGGAUAUAGGGGGGAUGAGAAGUCGGAGUUAGAACAAAUUAAGAAAUUUAAGCUUCACGGGGUCAGUUCUGAGGCAGUUUUUGCAGACAGUGACUGUGACUCAGCAGCGAGAAGGAGCAGUCCCGGAAGGACCCUGUGCUGGGCUAGGGAGAAGGCAGGCUGAGGUUGGGGGUGACCAUGCCAGGGCCUGGGAACUGGCAUCUGCUCCUGUCCUCACUGCUCUUGGGCUGGCCGUCGCCUUCCAUGAGCCCCAAUGUCCCAAUCUCUAAAAUGCAGGCAUAAACUUGGUAACCUCUGUGAUUGAUCCAAGCCAGAAAGGUAUGAAAAAAGUGAGCCAGGCAAAUACAUUUGAUAAAGUGUCUUGAAUGAUGAAUAGAUACCUUCAGAUUUGGGAACAGAAACCACUCUAGGACCCUAAGUCAACAAAUGCAAAUACCAACAUCAAACUAGCAGGCUGAAGACGGUGAUUUUCACUUCCAUGUGAACCGGUUAAAAACAAUAGAAAUGAGAGAAGAGGCCGGGUGCAGUGGCUCACGCCUGUAAUCCCAGCACUUUGGGAUGCCAAGGCGGGAGGAUCACCUGAGGUCAGAAGUUUGAGACCAGCCUGGUCAACAUGGUGAAACCCUGUCUCUACUAAAAAUACAAAAAUUAUCCAGGUGUGGUUACACCCACCUGUAAUCCCAGCUACUCGGGAAGCUGAGGCAGGAGAAUCGCUUGAACCUGGGAGGUGGAGGUUGCAGUGAGCAGAGAUCGCACCACUGCACUCCAGCCUGGGUGACAGAGCAAGACUCCAUCUCAAAAACAAAAACAAAAGAGAGAAAUGAGAGAAGAGCAUAAGGGAGAGGGUGAUGGGGAGAAGAGCAGAAAUGGACAGGAAGAAAGAGAUUAGAGAGAUUGGUGCGAGGGGAAUGAUAAGACUGCCAUGUUCUUCCUCCACCAGCAGUCUCGUGUUUUAUGUUUGUUUACAACAAUUACAUCAGCUUAAUGGCUACCGAGCACCCUCUGAGUGAGGACAUGCACACACACACACACACACACACACACACACACACACACACACAAGUUAUUCUAAUCCUGCCAAUGUCCAGUGGUUACCCAUGGGGAAAAUCCCUCAGUCCUUGAGCAUAGCUGGGGCUUCUUCAGAGCACAAGGAACAGUGGAAUCUCAGAGUUUGAAGGAGACUCAGACACCACCUAAUUUUUGCUCAUCCACGCAGUCACUGACAAAAGGCUAUCAUACUUAUUGUCACAGGCCUCCAAGGACAGAAGCUCCUUGCCUCCAUUCAUGAUUGAGUACCACGUAAUUGGAUAGUCUUCCCUUAGAAGUGGCCUACUGCUCCCUGUUGUGAUCCAGACUGGUUUCUUUUGCUUUGGGCUUCCAAGGGGACAAAGCCCCUGCCUCUGGAUGAAUGAUCUCUGGGACACUUGGAAGUGCCCUUGGCCUUGUCUUGCCCAGAAACUUCCGAAGGCAAGAGUAGAAAUUGUACCUCACCUUGUCUUUGCAUCCUGAAGUUCAAUGCUUAAGACAGACAGCAAUCCUCCCACCAACCUCACAGCCCAUCCACGCUGGAAGCAGCUGCUCAUCUUUAUUGUGUCCUGUUAUUAUACAGACUCAGAUGAACUGUUUCUCAUUCCUUUCCAUUCAUCAGGUCCAAUGUUUUAUGUUCAAAAUUCAAAUGUAAGUCUUCACUUGAAAUGGAUCGAGGAAGGCAGGAGGAGGCCCCUGGGUAUUGCCUCCAAGGGGAAUAUGUAUUUAUAGGGUCUUCAAAGCCCUCAGAGCACUGCUGAUACCAUCCCCUCUUCCCCAAACCAAUCCUCUUUUUGCAUUUCCCAAAAACCCAAUUCAACCUGGAUCAUGGCCUCCAUGCAGCAGGAGCUCUGCUCGACAUUGGGAAGACAAAGAGGAAAGACCGUCUCUUAAGGCACUCACAGUCCAGCAGGGAGACAAAGCACAAACCUAUGGGCACUACAAUCCGGCUUCUGGGAGGACAGGGUGGUUCUGCCCGGCAGAGCUGACUUAAUGCCUCCCAAAGUUCACACGGCUUCUCAUCAAGGGCCUCUCUCAUCAGUUCCCUCUCCCAACCUACCAUCAUCCCCAAAUGAACCAGGCAUUACACUAGGACCCCCUCAGUCUUCCCCCUAACCUGGGCUGCAACUGUUCCCAGCUAUUUCUCAACAGAGCAAAUCCUGCCAAAAGUAGGAUCAUGUCCAGAGUAAAAAUAACCACUAAACAAUCCAAUGAGCUUGAUUCAGUUCAGCAUUUAGCCCAACAGAUGCCUCUGAGCCCUGUAUCUUCCACAUUUUCUCUAGAGUCUCUAGAGCCUUCUAGCCACGUCCAACAAACCCAAAAGUUACUGCUUGGUUUUCUUGCCCAAGUCCCUUAGGUCUCUUUUGGCCGCCUGUACUGAUCUGAGCUGACCCUUCUUUGGUUGGUGGUUUCAUGGCUCUGUUCUCCAAGUCACUGCCUCAGCAAACCAAUGUCCAUGUCUGCUUUCUUCUUACCCCAUCUUCCUUCCAUCCAGGACAGAAAUAUGAGGACAAAGAGGUCUCUGCAGUAGCUAUCACUGCCUGACAGAGCAUUUUAUAGUAAAAUUGCAUUCACAGUUAAGAUCAAGGCUGAUGGAAGCCUUCUUGGUGGCCUGUUGAGCUCUCCAUUGGAAGAGUUGUUCUUGGAAAUGAGAAGGAGAAAGGGACCAUCUCAAUGUCCCCAUCUGGUAGAUCUUGCUUCAACCACUAUGAGUGCAGAUGACCCAAGAGAGGAAAAGCUGGGCCAGAUCCAUUACAGCUAAAUUGAUUUCCAGCCAGCAGGUGCCAAGGGCGCUCAAAGUGGUCCCUGACACAGUGGCUGUAGAAUUGAGUUCUAACUCUAGGGAAGAUGAAGAAACCCUGACUCCCUUACUAUCGAUGUUGGGCUGCUGAGCUCACAAGGUGCUCCAACCCCACCUGGCAAGAAUACAUAGAACAACCCUAUGGGAUGGGUUACUCCUAUUUAGAUAAAUUAAAAUUACUUCUUUUUUUCCUGGGCACAAAAAGCAAAAACAAAGACUUUCUUAAUUUCACCAGGGUUUGCAAUUGAACACAUCUGAUUCCCUGACUUAAAGAAAUAUAUAUGUAUAUUUUUCAUUUUUGAGCAGGUAUUUUUUUAAUGGGGCUUAUUUUUGGAUUUGAGAUCACUGGGCUUCUUGCCUUGUGAAUCAAUGCUUGCUGCUGUAUUGCAAAUGCAUACAUUGGUGACCGCAGUAUUAAGCCAAAUUUAAAAUCUUAGUCUCCUCCAUCUGUAAGUGUUAUGUAUCUACCUCAUUAUGAUUUUUUUGGUUUCCUGUGCUUUCGUGUUGUGUACAAUGUCAGAGGUGAAAUGUAGAUAAAAAUAUAUAUAUAUAUAAAUAUAUAUUUUUUGCUUUGCAAUAAAGUUCAAAGCUAUAACACAGACUAUUCCUGAAAUAUCAUAGCCUUUUAUUGUGCUCUAUCUCCUUAGUUGUGAAUUGUCUCGGGAAACUUUUUGCCUAUUCACGAGAGUCAAUAUUGUUGUGUUUGUCAUUUGAUGAAUUAUUCUAAUUAUUUUAACUGUACUUUUUUGACACAUUGAAUAAGACACUAGGAUUCUUGAACAACUCUUGGUUUCAAAGGUGCUUCAUUUCUGUGGACUCAAGUGAUCAAAUGGAAGGGAAGUAUCUCUGCAGACUUGAAUCUUUCAGAAAAAAUUAUGGAUCUCAAUGCCAUUGGGCUUUGGGUUUAGAACAAAAGGUUCGUGCGUAGGGGGAAAAAGGAAACAUUGGUUUGGCUUUGACUUCUUGACGCUUUUGGUAUUUAUUGAUGUCCAACCUUAUUUCUUUUUAAAAUUUCAAUUUCUUGGCAUGAAAUUCGGUAUUCAUUGACUCCCUGGCAUUCUUGUGUGAUGUGGCUGCUUUUGACUUUUUGACUCCGCCAUUUUCCCUAGGUUGAUUUUAUGUGUUGUGCUAUUUGGUGGUGAACUAUCCUGUGCCCAGCCCCCACCUCUUCUCUAAACGUUCUGGAACUCUGUUUCAUACCACAUGUUAAGAGGAACGGUGAUUUGGAAACUUUUGUAGUCUACAAGCCAGCGAUGCCAUAAAGACUCAAGGUUUUCACAAGAAUCUUGACCAGUUACAGUACAGAUUCAAGGGAUUGUGAAUAGAAGGUGGAUUGUUUGCAAUGGAUUCCCUUUAUUUAUGUGCUUGAACAGAAUUGCUAUCCUUUAGCUAAGCACAUGUAGGUUGCGAACCCUAAAUAAUUUGUAUGGUCCAACCACCCUUGUUUUUCUGUGUCUUUGGCCAAAAUCUAAGGCUUUUCUUAAAUUCCUUCAAUAUAUUUUAAAUGGUAUAAAGAAAAGUCUAUAAGUUAGAAUAAAAGAUCCUUAAAAAUGAUACUUCAACAAAACCCUUUAAGUAUUUUAUUAUUCCCCAGUUCUAGGGCGCUACGGAAAAGUGAUCAUUGAAAGGGGGAAUUAUUUCCACAAAUGGUGACAUUGCCCAUAAAAUACAUGCAAUGCUAUAGAAAAAUGAAUAUUUCAUAAUAUGUUUGUUUUUCUUUUUUGAUUAUCAUAAAUAAUUGCUGGUAUGUAUUAGUAAUGGACAUUUUAACUUGUAUUUGGGGAGGUUUGCUUUCUUUUUUAAUGAUGCUGAGUAAGCAUUUAAAACAACCUGGCUAGGUUAGACUUUGCCUGUUCUUGACUAUUUCUCUCUUUUUAUGAUAUAAAGGUCUGUCUACGAAUUGAAAUGCAGAUAAAACAUGUACUGAAGGUAGAACACACUGAUGUUGAUUUGAAGGGAAAAAUAUAAUGAUAAAUAUAUAUAUUUAUAUAUAUACACACACAUAAGUAGGUGAGUGGGAAUAUAUGAUAUAUUCACACACAGGCAAACACACACGUGGGCACAAUGACAGUAUGCUUCCAAAGUUGGUUUUCUGAUUCUGAGGAAUUUGCCACCUCACUGAGCUUCCCAAGAUUCCAAAAUUUCCUUUGAAAUAAUUACAUGUUUAAGAAAGAAAUGUUUUGCUUGUUUUCUGUAGGUACUAGAAAACACAAUUCUUAUGAUUCCCUAUUCUUUCAUAUCCAUUGUGACAUAUCCAUUGUGCACUCAGAGGAGCCUGUUUUUAGGGAGACUUUGGGAGGAUCCUUUCUUGUAUUACCACCUUUCACCCCACCCAAUGCCUUGAGAAAAUUAGCUGCAGAGCCACCUACACCUGCUCAUCUUGACUCUUGUCUUUCUGUUCAUCUCAGUUCCCCAGUUUUUCCACAGGGGAGGCCUUGUUUCCUGGAGACCCUUCUGAAGUUUGAAUACUGGAGUGAACUCUCUUUCCAUGCUGGUUCUGGGCCCUCUCCACACCUGGUGCCGCCCUCCCUGGAAUCCCAGCCCCAUUGCUCCCCAGGGCACAGAUAACGGGAAUUUCAGAGUUAGUAGAAGGAAUUUUUUGCUGCAUCUGUGAUCGAGGCAUUUUAGAUAUACAUGUUGGUAGCCCUAAGCAUGAGGUUUAAUCUAUUUCUUAUAGAGGAAGGGUUCACAAUGGACCAAACUCUAAGGGUAACCCAAGGAGAUGGCAUAACAGGACUUCUGACCCAGACCAGCCAGUUUUGUUCUCAUAGUGACCUUCUGCUCACUCAUGAGCAAAACUCCCUUAGUUGAUAGGGAAUCCCUGAUAUGUCAGAGCCAGUAUGGGAAUAGGGAAAAAGAAUUGAACUUCAAUUCACUGUAAAAAGCAUUUUCUUCUUUCCCUUUCCUUUUCUGUUUGUAGACCAUAUUUCUGCAGAGUGGGCUGGUCCUUGGGGCAUGACCAUUGUUGGGUUAUUGUGGGGAGCUUUCUGCACUGCUGGGAGGAAGCUGUAGUUUUGUUUGCUUAUUUUAAAUCUCAUCAUUACACCUCUUUGUUGCCUGGAAAGGGAGAAGAUGCUGUCCCCAGGAUGUAAUCAUUCUAGAUAGAGAUGCUUUCAGUUCUGUUUAUGGUUGCCAGUUGCUAUUGAACUCCCAAGGAAAUCUCCAGUUUGGAAACCAUUUCUGACUGCCUAUUUGGGUUCUUGGUUUUCUGCUUCUGGGCAAGAACAGCUUCUAUGCUUUAGGAGCUUUGAAAUCACUGGACCAGAGGAAGCAGAUGUAUUACAAUGGGAUGUGGCAGAUUAUGCAAGAAUUUCUUUUACCCUAAACUCAAGGUGUUGUACAGCUCUGGUAGAGGAUUUUUGACAUUUCGUAUGUUCUCAGGCCACUGGGUCUUCCCAGUGACCUUCCCUGCAAGGACAAUGUGACAGAUAAUGAAUCUAUUUUACCCCAGUCGAGUUUCCUUGCCAGAACAGUAUUCUCACUUCAAAUUCAAUUAAUCAUUUGAUUAUCAAAUAUUUAUUGAACACUUACUCUACCAAGCAAAGGGCUAGUAACUUAGGGAUAUAAAGAUGAAAUAAACCUCAAGGCAUGUAAUACAAGAUAUGAGAAAUGUACAUUAAAAACCAUACUGCAAUGGAAAAUGGAACCUAAGGAGAAGUGCAAGAUGCUUUGGACAUCCAGAACAGGAAGAGAUACUUCCAAGUGAAGGUAGAAGGGAAGGCUUUGAAACGAUGGCAUUUGAGUUGAAUUUUGAGGGAUUCAUAGCCUGCAUGCAAAUGAGUGAAUCUGGCUGGCCAUGCCCAUAGUCAUGAUGAAUCCUUCAUUCGCUUACCAUAUUGAUUUCUUUCUGAUGAGAAAGCAACAGAAUUUUCAGCAGCACAUAUUCAAGCCAUGUGAUGUCUUCCACUGUCUGUUAACAUUCACCCAACCUUAUUGAAAGAAUAGCCCUUCAGCUGAAGCUAGGUUAAACCUUGGUUUCGAAAUGUGAUUCGGGGAAUGGCUCUUCCUUGUGGAUAACCACACUCCUUCUUCAAAGACUUCAUGGACACCCCAAGAGUUGGACUUGCAGUUGCUCAGAUGUACCCAUGUGCAUGCCUUGGCUCAAAGCUAAGCCCCUACAGCUUUGGUGUAUCUAAAAACCACUCCUCUAGUCCUCCACAUGUGGUGGAAGACAGGAGGAAUGAGGCUUCAAGUGGUGAUUUGCAUGUCUCCAUCUGCAAGGCACAUCAGAAGAGUGGAAGCUGUCAGUGGACCACUUUACAUGUGAUUUCUGGAACCACUGAGUUUUUGAGGCCAAAGGGAAGGAACUUGAAUGAAAAAUGGAAUUUCUUAAAGCCCAAAGCUGCCCAAGACACAGAAGAUUCCAGUCUCUGAUUCUUAAUAGGGUUUUAGUUCAACCCUGGUCAGGCAAGCUUCUGGAUAUUUGAGGCCAGUGCAAUCUCCUAGAAUUGGUUGAGCCAUGCAGAACUUGGCUGGCCCCAGGCCCUCACUGUAGCAGCCAAGGAGCUGGUUACUGUGGUCACAGCAUUUCCUAAUGAAGAAUUGAGUCUUCAGGAUGUGGGGUAAGUCCCAGUUUCUCCUAUAGUUUGUGUAGUGGGUCCAGGUGUUUCCAGAUACCAUGAGAAAAGGAAGCCAAGACAGUUUUUUUUUUCCUGAUCCUUUCCUCAAUGGUCCCCAGUUCUCUCAGCACUACACACAGAUUCUUCAACAGUUUGUGCACCUUGUUUCAUCUUCUGAGACUUUAAGAACCACAGAAGCAAAACCAUACAGACAUUGAGACGAGAGAUGCAAAGGCACAGAGAAUUGAGACAAGCGGGAGGGCCUCCCCACAGACAGAUCUGCUCCUGAAGCAUUUAAAGUGUGGCCUGGCCUUUGACCUCAGAUUUUCAGCAUGUCUAAGUGGAAAUGCAGGGGAUGGCAGUUCUGAACCUUAGAACUUAUUAAUAGGACAAGCAGGCUUGGGAUCCCAACUGGAACUCCCCAACUUCCUUCAGUCUUGUUCCUUAUAAUUAUUCUCUCUUUAACUUCCAUAAAAUAACUCUACUGUUGCUGAUCCAUGGCCUGGAAUCUUUUCAUAAUGGGUGGGAUGGUGACCACCUGCAUCCCUGGAGCUGAUAGACAAACCAUGUCAGCCAAGCAUACAUUCAGAAAAGUUGGACUUCUAUUUUACACAAAUCAUUUUUAACUCCCAGCUUCAAGAUAUUAAAUUUUAAUCAUUCCCUUUACCACCCACGAUCUGGGGCUCUACCAAGCCUGACCACCAUGCACCACAGGCUGACGGUGACCCCAGACUCUCACUGGACCCCAUAUUCCCCACACCCAUGAUGUCUGCUCAAGGGUGUGUUGCCCAAACCAUCAUUCAUCUCAGAUUUAACUCAUAUUUACUGAGCACUUGCUUCAUGCCAAUUUGCUAAGUGCUUUUCUAUAUAUUUUCUUAGUUUAUUUUACUUAUUCCUUGUAAUGACCUUUUUCAACUAGAGAAAUAUAACACAUUAGUUUAAUUUCCAUGUGAGAAAAAUGUGACCUAGGCACUUGAAUGAUUUGCUCAACUUGAUUCAAAAGAAAUAAAACCACGAUGUGGGAUCAAGUGUCUUGGCUGAAAGUCUUCUGGAUUUUCCACCACACCUCUGCCUACACACUCCCUUGCUUGACUGAUGGGACAUUCUACCUUUCUUUUCUUCCUGCUGCCUCACUGAACUUUGAGAGGCCACCUCCCUGUGUGGUACAUUUUAUCUCAGCCUGCAGGAGCCAAGGCCGGUUUGACCUGUGUCUAAACAACCCAUCUUGAGAUGGCCCAAGAGCAGGGGCCCUUGAGGCAUCAGCCUGAGACUGACAUAUGGAAAAGACAUCUUUUUUUCCUCUGUUUCCAAAGAUUUUUGCUGAAAAUAAUACAUAAAAUAGAUCCUGUGAGAACCACUUUUAAAGCCAAUUGGUGUUCUUCUGAUCUUUCCCAGGAAGAUCUUUUGGCAGAAUCUCUCUAUGUUGUAGAGAAGAAAUCAGGGCAUUGGGUGGCAUCAUUAUAUUUUGAAGCCCAAACUGCUCAAAAGGAACUGAACAGCAAAUCUCUGCCUCUAGCUAAAAUUGCUGCCUCCAACACCACUGACCUGAAGUACUGGGCUCUAGCUUGGCUUCAGGAAGCUUGCAAAGACCUCGGUGUUGCCCCAUGUCAGCUGUCAAAACUGGCAGCCACCUCCCUGAGGUUAACGGAAGAGAUUUCUUCCCUUGAGAACUAAGGUCUCAGUGAGAUUCCUGGACUCACGCGCAGUCAAUUCAUUCUGUCCAUUAGUCUUCUAACUUACGCACUCAUUAUUCAUCUAGCAAAGAUCCCAGACGUGUGACUAGACCCUGUCCAUAAGUGAUUCACAGUCUGGUAGGGAGCUAACCUCUGUACAUCCAGGGCUGAAAAGUAAGAUGAAAUUAAUGAAUGCAGAUAAAGCUCUCUCAAGUUCAAAGGAAAGGAAGGCAUCUUAGCACCACCAAGCUCAAAGAAAGAGGAGAUGACAUGGGCAUUAAGGACUGUUGAGCCUUCCUCAUGAAUGGCACAUCCUGCGUUAAGGACAUUAGGGAAGGUUAUAAGGAAACAAUUAAGAUAUAUGCCCCCUUCUUUGCCUAAAAGUAACUCCCAGUGUGCACCAAUAUAUUGGCUCCUUUGAUAGCCAUCAUUAGAGGAUGCUUCCUGCAAUCAUCUUCCUUCUUAAUCAGUCACCAGGCGUACUUCUCAAACAGGAAAAAAUGGCUUAACCACAGCAAGAAGAGACAAGGGGAGGGGAGAGUAAGGAAAAGAUUCCUCUACUUUUGAGACGGAUUGCUUUAGAAAGAAAGCAAAACGUAAUCAUGUUAUCCUUGGUCUGGAAACUGAAGAAAGGGCCCCCUUACUGCGUCACCCCAAGGAAAGAAGAAGGACCUGAAACUCAACAUCCCUAUGCCUUUCUAGCUGUCAUUCCUAGCCAUUGUUUCUACAUGUCCACAGACCCCAUGCCUCCAUCCUGAGCCUUUUGGACUUAUAGAGUUUAGGUUAAGCAAUAUACUAUGAAUAGGCACAUGGGUUACAGAGAACAAGAGAAAAGGAUAUUCUCUUAGGAAGAGCCAAGAGAGAAAUGGGACACAACAGCAUGACACAGCGGUCAACACAGGCCUUGGAUCAGUUGACUAACCUUGAAAGGUUCCCUGUGAAAUAAGAAGCUCCAGGUUAAUACCACAUUGCCCCUUUAGGCCAAUAAUGAAUUCUGAUCAAUUCCACUUAAGAAUCGUUCAUUGUUUCUUUGUCACUGCUCUAACCUCAUGGCAAAUGCUGAGAUAUGUCUUGAGGUGAUUUAUCACAAGGGUUUCUGAAUCAUGAUAUAUCACAUUCAUUGCAUCCUUCACUUACCAGGCACCCAUUUCCAAAAUAUUACAUAUUUAUCUCCAUUUUUAACACUACAGAUUAGGUCAAUGGUGAGUGCCUUUUUUUAAAAGUCCCUACUAAUUAGCGGUGAUGAGAAAUAGUGUUGUUUAUUUUUUAACCUUCAAGACGUAGCUAUUGUUUCUUCCUCAAUUUCCUAGUUCAGUUUGGCAAACUGGACCACUGAAAGUCCACUAGGCGUUUAUCUAGUGAUUUCUCUAAGCAUGGCUGGGUGAGAGCAAGUUGAAAAUGACGUCUGUCAGCAGAAAUUCGAGAGUUAGGAAGCUAUGCUGUUGCAUCCCAGGACCACAGAGAACUGUCAUCCAGCCCUACCUCCCCUCCAAGCAGGGUCACCCGUUUCUACAUUCCAUUGCAGCAGCUGGAGUCCUGGAUUUGCCACUAACACACCCCACGUGCCCAAGCACAGUUUCAUCUUCUGCAAAAUGGUGACACUCCUUAAAGUUUCUUCCCAUCCGAAAGUUCUGUUAUCAAUACCCACUCAUCCAACAAAUGGCAAGAAAAUUUAGCUUCUCCUUAAAUCCAUGCUAAUGUUUAUGAGCAUAAGAACCCAAGGAGAUCCUCCUUACAUAGAAGGCAAGCAUCUAAAUCAAUUCAACUCUACUUUUAUCUUGCAUUAAAAGAUGAAGCCAAUACAAAAAUUAGCUGGGUGUGGUGGUGCACGCCUGUAAUCCCGGCUACUCAGGGGGCUGAGGCAGGAGAAUCACUUGAACCCAGGAGGCAGAGGUUGGAGUGAGCUGAGAUUGUGCCACUGCACUCCAGCCUGGGCGAUAGAGCGAGACUCCAUUUCAAAAAAAAAAAAAUAAAUAAAAAGAUGAAGCCAACUGCUCACCCUAAUAAAUAUACUCACAAUAUAUAUCUUGAAGGUUAAAAACAAAAACAAAAACCACAUUGCUUCCUCUAAUCCCCUUUUUGUUAUUGAUGUCAAGGAGUUGAAAUGUACUGGGGUGCAGACCGGAGCAUUAGCUUGUCAGGAGAUGAGAAUCAGCCAUAUGGGAUAUACAGAGAUUAUUGACCAAACAAAAUAAAGCCAAGCAAAACACUGCAAAUUCUCCUGUCCUUAGAACGCCACUUAGCAAACGACCGCCGCUCUAAGAAAAUGCUUUGGGUAUGGAAAAGUAUCGAACUUUGAGGUUGUCCGGGGAAGGCUGUGAUGCUUUUAUCAGAGGUGAAUAAGGUUUUCCAGCACAGUUCCUAAACGCCUGUGGGGCGCUUUCACAUGCAGUAUCUCAUUUGAUCUUCUCAACAACGCUGUGAGUAAUAAAGUCACACCCAACAUGCAAAAGAGAACACUAAAGUUCAGAGAGGUUAGCCCACCUGAGGUCACACUACUAUAAAGGGGUUAGGGUCCAAUUUCGAAUCCCAUGCUGCUGUCUGUGAUGUCCAAAGCCCCUUCUUUUGAGAGUUGGAGGAGCAGCAGACCACCUACCUCCCCACCAAGGCCCUGGACUGACAAUGCCUGUUCUCCACCAUGCCUAGGAAUCUCUUUCAGCCAGGGUGGCUCCCAACAAAUGGUAAAUAGAACCAGAUGGUCCUAGGUACCAAGAGUAGGACAUCAUAGCCUUGUCCUGGGGCAUUUUCGGGAUUCUUUAAGCAUAUCUUUACCCUUAAAGCCACACUACACAUCAUCUCAUUUCCUAAUUUUAUUCUGUCCACUUCCUUAUGUAAAUACAUCUAUGAUCACAAAUCCUCAAACAUGGUUUCAUCUACAAACUGCCAGGCCAGAGAAACACCAUUUGGAAAGAGCUGAUCUAGUAAAGCAGAGUUCUGGGGAUUGAUGUCAGAAGAACAUCAUGGUGUUUGCUAAGGCCAUUCAGCCAAAGCAGCCUGCACCUCUUAAAAAUCCUCCCUUUGAGGGAAGACCCAUGGUCAGCGGCUCCUUAGUUGGCUUUGCAGAACCACUCCCUUAGGGGGGCUCAGAGCAAUGAGCAGAGGGUACCACCUCUGAAUCGCAGAGGACCAAGUGGUGGCUGUGUUUUGAGUCAGGGCUGGGUGAGGAGUACAGAGAAGGUUUCCAGGACAAUUGCUUUACUAUGAUAGGUCAUGGGUGGAAACUGAAGUCUGGGAAAGCUUAGUAAGAGAUGGGAUUCAGAAGGCAAGUAAGGUGGGAUCUCCUCUGGCCCAAGAAAUGAAUAAGUGUGAGCACCUUACGCAAAAAGCAAAGGACAGGGGCACUGGUUCUGCCUGAUUCUGUCACUCCUAAAACAAACCCCAAUGUGCGUGCUGGAGGAGGCCAUGUGCUGGACUGAUCACAGCUGUCCACUUCUACCCAUGAGAGUAGGAACCAGACUGGUGUGGACGCUGGUGGACACUGAGCCUGUAGGGUCAGGGGGAUCAUUUUUUCCUUAUUGAGGAGUGUGGCAAAAUGUUUAGAGGAAGUCCAAAUUUCCUGCUAUGGCCAGAUUUUAACCAAAUGAUCGAGUGCUUCCUGAGCUCACACUAACAUCUCACACUCUAUUUCAAAGUAAGAAAAACUUCCUAAUGUGGCAGAGGAAUUUGCAUUUCUUCCCUUUCUUGGGCCACGGGUGUGAGUAAAGGGUUCUCUUACCUGAAUGCAGGUCACUAGUAGGAGGUAGGUGGAUCAAACCACAGGCUACAUCCCAGGGGAGACAAGAGAGAGUGCUGCCCACACCCUACACAGGGCUGGCCAGUCCCACUCCCCUACUGCCUCAACAGCAGCCUCUUUCUGUCUAAAACUGCCUCUCCAACUCACUUAACCUAGGAAGAGUUGCCCUGUGCAAUUAGGAGGGACUUAGACUGGGGUAGAAGGGGCCAAUCCAAAUGGCUCAAAGAGCUGCUAUCUUGGGUUUAGGCCCCAGGAUAAGGCUAGAGAGGGGCCACAUGAGGAAGGCCAAAGACCAACAGGGAUGAUGUGUGGCUUCCGUGGGCUUCUAGCUUGCGGUCCGUGCCAAAGGGCCAUCAUCCACCCUCGUCUUGGGCAUGCAGGAUUCCUGGAGGCAUUCUGAUGCAUCCUGCCUUUCUCAACCUGUCCCAGACUAGUUCUUGCUACAAAUUUCAGAAGAGGAUUCUCCCUCAGUCUCCCUUGCCUCUCCUCCUGUCCUUUAGCAUGAAUGUGAAGACCAUUGCCUGAUUACUUCCUUUAGCCUCUCGCUGUCUGCCAGACACUUGCCCAAAGGUGAGGCUCUCGGUGAACAGCAACUCUUGUUCCCAGAUGGCCUUUUGCGUUCUUGACUUUCCCUUUCUUCCCUUGCUGACCGUGAGACUCUGAGGCACAAUGGCCUUGACAAGGGUCCCUCGUUUAUCAGCUGAAGGCUCCUCCCCAGCCUGGCCUCCCAGCUCUCAUUUUAUUCCAUUUUUCUUUCCUCGGGGUGACCCCAUUAUGUUUUCCUUUCAUUCCAUGGGGUGCUGCCUCUUCCUCUCGCAACAGCCUGGGAUGGUGUGGGUGACUGGUGUUGAAGCACAAAGCAACAUUGCCAAAGAGGAUUAUGGUAGGAAAAAAUAAUAAUAAUAAGUAUAAUGGGAAAAGCUCAGUGAUGUGGGAAACUCCCUUCAGAUCCUCCACUGGUCAGCCCCGGUUUUCCAGUCCUUUUCUUCUGAAAUUUUAAUACCAUCUAUUUGCUAUGAUUGUUUUUAAUGGAAGAAGAACAUCAUGCUAAUGAGUUGUGCAAAGGACAUCAUUCUUUUGUUACUAUAAUUUAAAGGGGUAAAGACUACAAUGAACCGUGUUUAUGUUCAGAUAUCCAUUUGUUGUGCUGGGUUGAUUUCAGACUGGUGCAUUCUCACUUAUCAGGGACCUCUGAUUCUAGCAGAACAAAAUCAGCUAUUUACUCUAGUUACUGUAAGCAGACACAUAACUUUUACUGUAAUUUGAAAAACCUUGCACUGUAAUGGUUUAAAAAAAAAAGCAAAUCUUAUUGAAACUGAUUUUGUAUUUUUGAUUACAUCUGAAUUUUCACAUUUUUGUAUCUAACCGUGACCACGGUAGCGCUUCCAUAGCUUGUGUUCAAGGUCUCGUUUUCUUUCCAGAUUGAAUUCCUAAGAUUGUGUUGAUGCCAGAUGUUUAAGGGGCAGGACUGGGGCCUGGCUAGCAGAACCUGUCAUGGGGGUUGUGUCUUUGGCCAGAUCAUGAGCUGGCAACAGGAAAUCUUGCCUAGAUGGAGCAAGCUGUUGUUGCGUUUCAUUGCGUGAAUUCCCACAGACAGUUCAUAUCUCCAACUAAUUUAAGGCCAACAGUUUUUGGCCAAACCUUUGCCAAGGACUCUCUCAACUGAGCUGCCCCCCACCCCUGCAUUACCCAGCUUCCUGGGUAAGGGAGGACAUUUUUGAAAACAAAACUUGUGAAAUUAAUUUGUGCUUAUGAUUUUUUUCUUCUUGCUGGAAACAUGCUGGGAAGCAGAGAGCAUGAUGUUAUCGCUCUUUCUGCUUUUCCAAACCAAUACACCUGUUGUACUCUUUUGUUUCUUAGUGAAGAAAAUUCUAGACACAGACCUAAAUAUGAACUCUUUUCCUCCUGUAUUUCAGAUUAGCAAUUCUCCCUAUGUAUUCCUAACUUGUUGAAGUGUUUUCCUUCUUAGCAUUUCUUCUCACACUUUACUUUAUUUUUUUUUACUGAACAACAACAACAAACCCACGAAGGAACAAAUAAUCUCUUUCUCUUUCUCUCUUUCUCUCUCUGAUGUGUAAUGUUGUGUUGUCCAGAUUCUGUACAAAAAUAUGUAUAUGAUGUAUCUGAUAUUUGGCAGCCACUGGCUGUUACUUUAACCAAUAUAAUUAACAAAAUGCAUAAUGUUGGUGUUUGAUUUUUUUUUUUACAAAACAAAAAAACAACCUAGUUAAGAUGUUUGUGUAUUUUUGCAUGGUUAAAAUGUACUUAGUGCAUUGAGAAAUGUCGUGGAGGCACUCAGUGAAAAGGCCGGUUUACUUUUUGAUCUUAAUGGUAAUUGGUUGUUGACUAGACUAAUCCCUAUGAUGUAUGUCUUCUUUAAGUUAGCAUAUUUCUAUUUAUAACUUGUUUUAGUACUCAAGAUUCAGCAUAGCGUAUCUAUCUAUCUCUAUUGUAUUUACUGUUCCUUAAAACCAGGUUGUGGAAGUUCACUUCGUCUGGCUCAAAUGUCUCCAUUGCCGAUUUCUGUUGAAAUGUGUUCCAUUUAAUUUGCUGUACAGUCCAGAUCUGAAGCACCCCCAGGGCCCAUGGACAAGGGCUGUCAUCUCUCCUUCCGGAGGCCUAUUCCUUUGAGCAGUACUGUGGUUUUUCCCUUGUCAUGGAACAUCUUUUUUUUUUUUUAACCUAGUUAUAUAAAGGAGGAUAAAAGACAGGAAAUUAAGCAGAAAUAUAAGAAGUAUUUAUAUUUUAUACAAAUAGCGCAUAUAAUAUAUUAUAGAGUGAUAGACAGGCCGACUUUAAAUGUGAAUUAAGCAAAAAGGCAAUGAAAGAUAUUGAAGGACUCAGAGAGAUCUUGGGUUUUCCUCCCAGGAGUGGCACCAUUUCAAUAGGAGAGCUGCAGAAAAAUGGGCUGGCCUUCCUUGUGCCUCAGUUUCACUCUAGGUAAGAUUAGGAAGGGCAGUGUUAGGUGAGAGAGGCAUCUACAUUUUCUUGGGCCUUCAGUGCAUUUAAAGUAAAAGUGGAUCUUCAACUGCUUAAGAGAUUGGAUCGCUGUAUGUUUAGAGACAGUGCUCGCAGCAUCCCCUCUCCCCCCUUGGACAUCUGGACUUGCUCAGAGGAAAUGCAUGUCUUAAAAGGCGCAAACUAUUCUGGUUCAAGAUUACCCUGAUUUUCUUCUUGCUGGGAUCUCAAGUCAUCUCUUCAGCCAGGUACUUCUGCACAGCUUUUGAAAGAAGGCAGAUUUGGAAAGCAAUAUCUCUGGGAAAUAGAGGUGAAUCUCUGGCACAGGGUUCGUUUGUUCUCCCUAAAGGAGUCAGAAUCAUGGACUUCUUUUUUUCCCCUGGGCACACAGGACUUUGCCAUUCUAUAUUUUUCCAACCCAGACUCAGAGAGACACAUCUCCCCCACUCCCAAUGCUAGGAACCAGCAUACACAGAAGGUAUUAGAAGCACCUAGACAGAUUUUUCCAGAGUCUGUGUUUUGGCAGACAUUUGCCUUUUGGCAGAAUAGUGUACCUAUCCACAGUGAGCCAUUCCCCCCUCCGCAAAUCUGGAGAUACAGCCAGUCCUCUGAAGUCUUGGGCUUAUUGGCUGUGCAGUGAAACGUUAAUCCUGAUGGCCAGCCAGGUGGAAACCAGGACUGUGGUGCCUCUGCCUCUCUGACUCUUCACAGUUAAGAGCUCAGAGUGCUUUACAAACAUCUUGUUUCUCGUGGCCACUGCACACCUCCGUGAUAUGCCUGGCCAUGGGCACUGAUCAUGUCACUGUCUGCUGCUGGUGGGCAUCUUUCAAGAUCUUUUGAAAUUUUCAUUAGGUUCUAAUGCACUUUUUACUUUCCCUGAGUUGAGGUUGACCGCAAAAGGGCAGGAUUCCACAAAGAUGUGGCAGACACUACUGCUCUCCUGUUUGGCUCUUUCAGGGCAGAAUCUAGAUGGGGCAUUGCGGACAUGCUGACAUUGGUCAGGAGUCCCAAGGAACUUGCUAGAAAAUGUACUCACCAUUCCCCAGGAACAAGGUUGGCCCUCUUUGGAUGAAAGGCUGGCAGAGCCCUUCAUGAUCCUAGAAUUCAGCCCCUACCUCAUGUCUUUUCCAGACUGAUAUCAGUUCUCCAGGACCAUAGACUACAAAUGUCAGGAAGGUCUCAGAGCAUGUGGAGUCCCAUCUCCUCUCUGUACAGAUGAGGAAACUGAAGCCCAGAGAGAGAUGAAGUGAUUUACCCAAAGAAACCCAGCUCAAAAGGAGCAGAGACCCCCUCAGACCCUGCUUCCUGAUGCUCCUUUGUCCCCCUCCUUACUUAUAACCAGCAGCUCAGAAUCCUUUUAAUUUGUGAAAUUCAGAUAUCAUUCCCAAACUCUCAUGUUUGAUAGAAGUCCCUAAGUUUCUUUUCCCAAUGAUUAUGGUCAAUGUGAACAUCCCAACCCAGCCCCGUGUUAGCCAAGGGAAGAGGGUUUGGAUUUAGGAUGUGAAAUGAGCUAAUGUCUCAUUAACCUAUAUUUUUGAGGGGUAAGGAAGAACAAUGAAAAUAAGGAACAGCAGAAUCUAAACCUAUAAACUGCCCUUACUAAAUCUCCUGUGAGAACAGCUUUUUUCUAAAAAAUCUCAGUGGUCCAUCCAUCCACCCAGUGACCCUACCUGUUGUUCAGCCAUCCCAACUUUCCUGGACGUCUUCCAUUCCAGAGGCAUCUGAUUUCUCCAGGAAGUCCCUUUUAGCAGAGCCCGUUUCAGGAAACCGUCAACUUUUUAAUCCAAGCAGGUGUUCAUAAUGUUUGUUAUGAAUUCCUUUUAUUGUACCUCUCUCUGCUUUUAUCUCAAUUGAGCCACCAGAAGCCAAAGCGUGUUUUCCUCAUGCGAAAUAGUAGACCAGGAACGUCUUGCGGUGUCAUUCUUCUAAAAAAUGGCUGUUGGCCUCCUGACCUCACCUUCCCCUUUAUACGAGCCUGGAGGCACCUGGCUUAGCUGGUGCGUUUUCCUUUGGGAGGACUCUUUGAGGUUUGUCCCCCAAAGCUUACAAAGAUAUAGUCUAGAAUGUGUUUUUAUUUGAAUUUUUGUGGUUUUAUUUGAAUUUUCAAAAUAAACUCUGUAAUUUGCUACUGAGGCCCUUGAUUCUUUGUUAUCCCUGAGAAGGGCCCAGUGAGUCCCUACUCCUUUCCCCAGCUUCCAGUUCCUAACAGUCUCUUUCUAAUUAAAUAGAUCCUUUUUUUAUUCCAAUUAGAUUAUGGUGCUGUUUCUCAAAGAGACCAAGUCCCUGAGUUGAAGAUCUUUAAAGGGCUUUAUUCCUUUAAAAAGGUGCCAUUCCAGCCCUUUCCAGCUCUCACCUCCCCACUCCCUUAUAAGUGACACCGCCUUUCCCCACCAGGCCCUGACUCAGGCUCCAGAGAAGACUGACCAUGACCCUGUGCCACGCCAGGGGCCCAGGCAGGACCUUUAGUGACCUUUCCUGGAGGAACCUUGGUGCUUCCAUCUUCCACUUGCCAGUCGGGUGACCACAGAAAAGAGAUUCUGGAGAGUAGAAACUUCGGUCAAGUUGCCCCAAGUCAGGGAUGAGCCUUCUUUCCAUGGAGCCUUCCAAAGGGCAAGCCGUCUGCUACUGUGUACUGUAAAUUCAGAGCUUCAGGAGCUGAGGCCUCCUGUGCUUGGGGGAAAGGUAGCUGAGGAGAAAGGGACACCUUCUCACCUUUUGUUUACCUUUGAUCUGGCUGAACUUAGCUGCCCUUAACUUCUAGUUUGCUUAAGUCCUUAUUGCCUUAAUAACCACCUAAUAAGCAGUCAGAACCAGGAGAGAAGCCCCUCCCGUGGAAUCCAUUGCAAGCCUGUCCCCAGUCUCCCCACUGCUGCUAUGCCUGAAAAGAGCCCCAGCCCCGUCUCCAAAGCCCAGGGUUCGCCUCUUGCUGAAAGAGCAACGUUCCCAGGCUGAGGACAAACCCAGGACUGCUCAGGCGGAGAGAUCCCUGCCCCCACGUUCACCACUGACAACCCAACUCCAUCCUCAGUCUCCGUGGCUUCAGAUCUGGACUCCGCACCCUCCUCCACCUCCACCUCUCUUCCCAGAGACCCUCCCCACAUCAUGCUCAGUGCUGUUUCUGAAGACCAUCUAGACUUUUGUGUUCUCUGGAACAUUCUACUCACCUUCAGCUGCAGCACAUUUCUUCAGCCUCUCCACCAAGCUCUUUAAAAUGAAAGGCAGUUACUGUCUUCCCUUGGACAAUAAUGAAUGUAUCUACUGUAUGUGCAGACCAUGUCGAGAAGUGGCUGGGUUAAGAAAAAAGAGGGUUUUUGUAAAGCCUGUUUAUUUUUUUAAGUCAGUUUUGAGCAUUUCUAUUUUACCACCCUUCACAUGGUUUUGGGGAACCCAAAUUGUAUCAAGGUCUCAUGCCAAAACAAGCCAAAAGUUGUUUUCUUUACCUUUUUCCUCCAUGCACCAUGAUUUCAAUGAUUGUUUCAGUGUCAUUUUAAAUGUUUUCUUGUGACAUGUACUGAUGAUAAAAGUCAUCUUGACAAAAAAAAAAAAAAAAGAUUUAUACAUGAAUCAGAAAGUAUUUAUUUCAAUUUUGUACCUUUCCAUUUUAAUACAUUAUAAUGUAUUGACUCAACGGAGAUAAUAUAAACAGUUCAUUUUAAUAACA